CCUACGGGGGGCUGCAGUGGGGAAUAUUCGACAAUGGGCGAAAGCCUGAUCCAGCCAUGCCGCGUGUGUGAAGAAGGCCUUCGGGUUGUAAAGCACUUUCAGUGGGGAAGAAAGCCUUGGGGCUAAUACCCUCGAGGAAGGACAUCACCCACAGAAGAAGCACCGGCUAACUCCGUGCCAGCAGCCGCGGUAAUACGGAGGGUGCGAGCGUUAAUCGGAAUUACUGGGCGUAAAGCGCGCGUAGGCGGUCUGAUAAGCCGGUUGUGAAAGCCCCGGGCUCAACCUGGGAACGGCAUCCGGAACUGUCAGGCUAGAGUGCAGGAGAGGAAGGUAGAAUUCCCGGUGUAGCGGUGAAAUGCGUAGAGAUCGGGAGGAAUACCAGUGGCGAAGGCGGCCUUCUGGACUGACACUGACGCUGAGGUGCGAAAGCGUGGGUAGCAAACAGGAUUAGAUACCCCAGUAGUC
Molecule: ribosomal RNA, 465 nt
Filed under: Vreelandella stevensii
Lineage: Bacteria; Pseudomonadati; Pseudomonadota; Gammaproteobacteria; Oceanospirillales; Halomonadaceae
Description: partial 16S ribosomal RNA
Rfam family: Bacterial small subunit ribosomal RNA
Source: RNAcentral